This 1361-nucleotide long non-coding RNA is filed under the name Gallus gallus (chicken). RNAcentral's name for it is "lncRNA (ENSGALG00010015646.1)". The record is from RNAcentral. Lineage: Eukaryota; Metazoa; Chordata; Aves; Galliformes; Phasianidae.
GGAGAUUGCUCCUUUUGGAGCCCUUCCAUGAGCCCAGGAUACAGCACAAUCCUACAGGGAGAACAUCCAGACAAGGAGACUUUAUACAAGGAUAUAUGCCCUAUCUCCAAUGUAUACAAAUCUUAUCUACAAACAGGGGCAGUUAUGCAAUGAAACGUUGAUUGUUCACACUGAAAGAGAAGCUUCUAGCAACACCUUUAAUGGAAAAAUACAGAGAAAACACAAAAGACCAUUGAUGAAAAUGAUGACUGCAUGAAUUACAGCCUUCAUGAGAAAGCUGGAGAGAUUUGGUGAUGUCUGUAGCUUCUUGCUACAGGUAAAACUUCAAUGGUGAUUUCAGGUUGGAAUGUGCAGACUGCUCUAUGAAUGACUUGUGGCCGUGAAGAUGAGCCUAUUAACUUGUUUGCACAUCUCAAUGAACUGGGUUUGUCAGAAAACAGAACUGAAUGCUACAUCUUUUAAUAUUUCUGACAAAACAAGGACAGAGCUAAAGACAGUAGUUUAUAAAACAUAUAGGAAAGAGGGGCAAAAACCUACAAAUACUAGAUUACUCUCUUAAUAUAUACUGAAAGUUCAACCAAGCAUACCUAUUGAUAUUGAUGUGUAUACACAUGUGUACCAAUAACUAACAGCACUGCCUGAAUUUGGGCACGUAGUUUAAUGAAUCCCAUUCUGACAGUGAAAAACUGAGACUGAAUACACAAAAAAAAUUUUGCCACUUCACUACAAUGAGGGGGGGGAAAAAAGUGGUUGAACAGUCAUGUGAUGACAAACUCAAGUUCUAAUUCAAGAAAGCAUAGCUUAGAAACUUUUUGUGGUGAAGGAAUGAGUGUAGUCUGGUUUCUAACUGAGCUCUUACACUACACAUUUCUCUUCAAGACCAACUUUGUCUAUCCUGUUCACCACUGAAAGUAACUAAAUCAGGCAUUUAACUGGAGCUUAGUGAUAUCUCGACUGACAAAAAGCAGCCGUGGAAUAAGUGCAUGCUUCCUGCUAGAAUCAUACUUUGAUUUCACUAGGUGCUACUUCAAAUCACCGUUUUUCUCUUCAUUUGAAUUUUGUUGAGUGUGAGAACUUUGAUGUCUUCUCAAUAAUAUCAUACCAAAGAAUGGGCAGGAAGCUCCAACAAAUUGAAUAACUUAGGAAAGCAAACCAUUGCUGCAGCUCAGCAGCAUAAUGGAAGAAAGUAAGCAGUCUGGAGAAUUUGAUUGCUUCUUAUAAUUUAAACGAAAUGAAAAACAUUAAUAACAGUGCUUACUUCAUUAUGUUACUCUUUGAUAUGGCCUCUGUACCUACAGUGUUUAAAAAGGAUGUUAUAAAUUGAACAGUGUAAGCUUUCUCAGGUAUUUAUUUUAGAAGGG